RNAcentral lists this ribosomal RNA (497 nucleotides) under uncultured bacterium. Its description in RNAcentral is "partial 16S ribosomal RNA". It matches the Rfam family "Bacterial small subunit ribosomal RNA", at positions 28 to 507 of the family's 1533-position model. The record is from RNAcentral.
GAUGAACGCUGGCGGCGUGCCUAAUACAUGCAAGUCGAGCGAACGGACGAGAAGCUUGCUUCUCUGAUGUUAGCGGCGGACGGGUGAGUAACACGUGGAUAACCUACCUAUAAGACUGGGAUAACUUCGGGAAACCGGAGCUAAUACCGGAUAAUAUUUUGAACCGCAUGGUUCAAAAGUGAAAGACGGUCUUGCUGUCACUUAUAGAUGGAUCCGCGCUGCAUUAGCUAGUUGGUAAGGUAACGGCUUACCAAGGCAACGAUGCAUAGCCGACCUGAGAGGGUGAUCGGCCACACUGGAACUGAGACACGGUCCAGACUCCUACGGGAGGCAGCAGUAGGGAAUCUUCCGCAAUGGGCGAAAGCCUGACGGAGCAACGCCGCGUGAGUGAUGAAGGUCUUCGGAUCGUAAAACUCUGUUAUUAGGGAAGAACAUAUGUGUAAGUAACUGUGCACAUCUUGACGGUACCUAAUCAGGAAGCCACGGCUAACUACGUG